CUGGCUCAGAACGAACGCUGGCGGCAGGCUUAACACAUGCAAGUCGAACGCCCCGCAAGGGGAGUGGCAGACGGGUGAGUAACGCGUGGGAAUCUACCGUGCCCUGCGGAAUAGCUCCGGGAAACUGGAAUUAAUACCGCAUACGCCCUACGGGGGAAAGAUUUAUCGGGGUAUGAUGAGCCCGCGUUGGAUUAGCUAGUUGGUGGGGUAAAGGCCUACCAAGGCGACGAUCCAUAGCUGGUCUGAGAGGAUGAUCAGCCACAUUGGGACUGAGACACGGCCCAAACUCCUACGGGAGGCAGCAGUGGGGAAUAUUGGACAAUGGGCGCAAGCCUGAUCCAGCCAUGCCGCGUGAGUGAUGAAGGCCUUAGGGUUGUAAAGCUCUUUCACCGGAGAAGAUAA
Molecule: ribosomal RNA, 402 nt
Filed under: barley rhizosphere bacterium LJ106
Lineage: Bacteria
Description: bacterial SSU rRNA
Rfam family: Bacterial small subunit ribosomal RNA
Source: RNAcentral